AUUAACGCUGGCGGUGUGCCUAACACAUGCAAGUCGAGCGGAAAUAUUUGCGAUUACAUCAAGAGUAUUUUAGCGGCAAACGGGUGCGUAACACGUUGGAGCCUACCUCAAAGUAGGGGAUAACUAGUCGAAAGAUUAGCUAAUACCCUAUGGUCUCGAAAGAGUAAACCUUUACGGGCUUUGAGAGGGGCCUGCGUCCUAUCAGCUAGUUGGUGAGGUAAUGGCUCACCAAGGCAAUGACGGGUAGCGGUUCUGAGAGGAUGAUCCGCCACACUGGUACUGAGACACGGACCAGACUCCUACGGGAGGCAGCAGUGAGGAAUAUUGCACAAUGGGGGAAACCCUGAUGCAGCAACGCCGCGUGGAGGAUGACGCAUUUCGGUGUGUAAACUCCUUUUAUAUGUCAAGAAAAUGACGGUAGCAUAUGAAUAAGCACCGGCUAACUCCGU
This 449-nucleotide ribosomal RNA is filed under the name uncultured bacterium. RNAcentral's name for it is "partial 16S ribosomal RNA". It matches the Rfam family "Bacterial small subunit ribosomal RNA", at positions 29 to 506 of the family's 1533-position model. The record is from RNAcentral.